This 118-nucleotide non-coding RNA is filed under the name Thermoactinomyces sp. RNAcentral's name for it is "SAM-I sequence". It matches the Rfam family "SAM riboswitch aptamer (S box leader)". From Rfam's summary of the family: The SAM riboswitch is found upstream of a number of genes which code for proteins involved in methionine or cysteine biosynthesis in Gram-positive bacteria. The SAM riboswitch acts at the level of transcription termination control. The predicted structure consists of a complex stem-loop region followed by a single stem loop terminator region. Lineage: Bacteria; Bacillati; Bacillota; Bacilli; Caryophanales; Thermoactinomycetaceae. The record is from RNAcentral.
CUCUUAUCCAGAGAGGUUGAGGGACAGGCCCUAUGAUACCUCGGCAACCAGUCUGUAUGAUCAAACAUACAAACAAGGUGCCAAUUCCUGCAGAGCUUUUUGUUCUGGUAGAUGAGAG